GAAACGCACCAGGGGUGCCUGUGUCUGCUUUAGUACUGGCCAUUUGGCUAAAGGAUGGAGCAGUUCAGGCUGAGAAAGUCCCUUUGAACCUGAACAGGAUAAUGCCUGCGUAGGGAGUGUGCAUUUUCUUUUCC
Molecule: non-coding RNA, 134 nt
Filed under: Jatropha curcas
Lineage: Eukaryota; Viridiplantae; Streptophyta; Magnoliopsida; Malpighiales; Euphorbiaceae
Description: TPP sequence
Rfam family: TPP riboswitch aptamer (THI element)
About the family: Vitamin B(1) in its active form thiamin pyrophosphate (TPP) is an essential coenzyme that is synthesised by coupling of pyrimidine and thiazole moieties in bacteria. The previously detected thiamin-regulatory element, thi box was extended, resulting in a new, highly conserved RNA secondary structure, the THI element, which is widely distributed in eubacteria and also occurs in some archaea. Analysis of operon structures identified a large number of new candidate thiamin-regulated genes, mostly transporters, in various prokaryotic organisms.
Source: Rfam by way of RNAcentral